AACGAACGCUGGCGGCAGGCCUGACACAUGCAAGUCGAACGCGUCCUUCGGGACGAGUGGCAGACGGGUGAGUAACGCGUGGGAACGUACCCUUUGGUUCGGAACAACUCCGGGAAACUGGAGCUAAUACCGGAUAAGCCCUUCGGGGGAAAGAUUUAUCGCCAGAGGAUCGGCCCGCGUUAGGUUAGCUUGUUGGUGAGGUAAUGGCUCACCAAGGCUACGAUCUAUAGCUGGUCUGAGAGGAUGAUCAGCCACACUGGGACUGAGACACGGCCCAGACUCUUACGGGAGGCAGCAGUGGGGAAUCUUGGACAAUGGGCGAAAGCCUGAUCCAGCCAUGCCGCGUGAAUGAUG
Molecule: ribosomal RNA, 354 nt
Filed under: uncultured bacterium
Lineage: Bacteria
Description: bacterial SSU rRNA
Rfam family: Bacterial small subunit ribosomal RNA
Source: RNAcentral